GAUGAACGCUGGCGGCGUGCCUAAUACAUGCAAGUCGAGCGAACGGACGAGAAGCUUGCUUCUCUGAUGUUAGCGGCGGACGGGUGAGUAACACGUGGAUAACCGACCUAUAAGACUGGGAUAACUUCGGGAAACCGGAGCUAAUACCGGAUAAUAUUUUGAACCGCAUGGUUCAAAAGUGAAAGACGGUCUUGCUGUCACUUAUAGAUGGAACCGCGCUGCAUUAGCUAGUUGGUAAGGUAACGGCUUACCAAGGCAACGAUGCAUAGCCGACCUGAGAGGGUGAUCGGCCACACUGGAACUGAGACACGGUCCAGACUCCUACGGGAGGCAGCAGUAGGGAAUCUUCCGCAAUGGGCGAAAGCCUGACGGAGCCGCGCCGCGUGAGUGAUGAAGGUCUUCGGAUCGUAAAACUCUGUUAUUAGGGAAGAACAUAUGUGUAAGUAACUGUGCACAUCUUGACGGUACCUACUCAGAAAGCCACGGCUAACUACGUG
RNAcentral lists this ribosomal RNA (497 nucleotides) under uncultured bacterium. Its description in RNAcentral is "partial 16S ribosomal RNA". It matches the Rfam family "Bacterial small subunit ribosomal RNA", at positions 28 to 507 of the family's 1533-position model. The record is from RNAcentral.